AGAGUUUGAUCAUGGCUCAGGACGAACGCUGGCGGCGCGCCUAACACAUGCAAGUCGAACGGAGUCAAGAGGAGCUUGCUUUCUUGACUUAGUGGCGAACGGGUGAGUAACGCGUGAGUAACCUGCCCCGAAGUGGGGGACAACAGUUGGAAACGACUGCUAAUACCGCAUAAGCCCACGGAUUCGCAUGGAUCUGCGGGAAAAGGAUUUAUUCGCUUCAGGAUGGACUCGCGUCCAAUUAGCUAGUUGGUGAGGUAACGGCCCACCAAGGCGACGAUUGGUAGCCGGACUGAGAGGUUGAACGGCCACAUUGGGACUGAGACACGGCCCAGACUCCUACGGGAAGCAGCA
RNAcentral lists this ribosomal RNA (351 nucleotides) under uncultured bacterium. RNAcentral describes it as "bacterial SSU rRNA". It matches the Rfam family "Bacterial small subunit ribosomal RNA", at positions 8 to 353 of the family's 1533-position model. The record is from RNAcentral.